Molecule: long non-coding RNA, 1837 nt
Organism: Sus scrofa (pig)
Lineage: Eukaryota; Metazoa; Chordata; Mammalia; Artiodactyla; Suidae
Source: RefSeq, a predicted model, not a curated record
GAUCAGCUUGAUUCCCAGACAAUACAAUCUCCCUGAAUUGGAGCAACCCUCCAGCAAGCUGGGAGGAAGGGAAGAGCUGGGGGAUUCUGGGGUCUGCAGGGUGUGAGUCGCUAAGGCACAAACAGGCUCAGAGCAGAGAGCUCGCCAAGGUUACAGAGCGAGGAAGUGAUGGGUCUGAACUUGGAACUAGAGCCUGCACUUCGAACCACCACACGGCAUUGUGCCUCUGACUUAUUCUCCACGAUGGAGAACUGUAUGUAGAGGCCCCAGGCCCCAGGCCAACAUGGAGAGCAUCCUGCCAGGCCUGGUGCUCGGUGCUCUGCGUGCUCCAUCGCACUGGACCACCCUCUGCAGCCCUGUGAGCUACUGCUCAGGGCCACUUCCUCCAGGAAGCCCUCCCUGAAUUCUCCUGCCCACCCUUCUCAGGACUCGGAGAGUGCCAGGGUGUGUGACCAGCGUGGAACUGAUUCCAUAAAUGCUAAGACUACACCUGGCACAAUGCUGGCUGCCUGGCAGGCACCCUGUAAAUUAAAGUGCUACCAGCCAGAACAACCUCAGCCUAUGAGCUAAGCAAGUCUGUACGCCUCCCAUACAAAUGAGAUCACUGAGGCCGAGAGGGGUUAAGCUGCUUGCUUGAAGCAGGAAAUAUCUGGUCCAGCCUGGCUCGCAGCCCUUCCUGCCCCACUCCUGUUACCUGCCCGAUGCUGCAGGCAUCACUGUGUCGCCGGAGCCAGCUUCAGACCCCAGGCCAGGAGCUAAGAAUAUCUCCAAGAGUCUUCCCUGACACCUGCAGCAGAUGUGCCCACAAAUUACCUGGUCCCAGCGGUAGGGAGCAGGCAAGGAAAGGGCAGCAUUUUCCUAAAAGCAUUGCACAUUUAAUUUGCAAAGUUACAUCACACAUUCGUGCACAGGGCAGCUUUUGGGAGCUGAUUUCAACGCUAGAGGCGGGUUGGAUAUCCCGGGUGUGACCUUUACAGGUUGGCAGGGCGGGUUUGGGGGGCAUGUAGACACCUGUGAGUGUCAGAUACUCUCACACGUGGGGCAGAUGGAGAGAGACAGAUAUUCCAGGGGCCCCUUCUCUGCAAGUGCUCACUGGGCACCUCCACAGGCGUCAUCUCACUUCUUCCCGAAAGAAACCCAGCCAAGUGUGCCUGAGCCUGGCUGCAUCUCACGAGGUCACGUGUCUUCCCAUCCCUUACAGACCAUGUGACAUGCGCAGACCCUGAACUUGAACCCAGGUGUCCAGACUCCUAAACCCACAUUUUCCCACCACCCAGUGCAGUUAAGAAAUGUGAACAGGGGUGACAGGUAUUAUGUAUACAGAGGGUAAAAGCACAUGCACAUCUAGCUGCACCUUUUAAAAAUUAUUGGAUGGGCCUGGGUACUUUAUUUAUGAGCGUCACAGGAAAAGCUGUGGAACUUGUGUGAGAUUUCAGCCCGGAGUGGGUCAAGAAUUGUCCACAGCAGCAGUGAAACUGCAAGUGGUCGAAAUGAGUAAGACUGAGUUCUAUCGAGAGUCCCACUGAGUCCAGCUCACUCAAUUGAUGAAUUAAUUGUCUUGAAUUAUUAUCAGUAAUUUUAGGGCUUUGAAAAAUUAACUCGAGGUAGUUUUAUCUCAGAAGACACCAUUUAGAAGUUGACGUGGCUUCCUCCUGGAUCUCGCAGAGAACUCUACACAGUGUUCUGUGGUGAUCUGUGUGGGAGAGGAAGCUGAAAGAGAAUGGAUGUGUGUACGUGGGUAAUGGAAUCACUUUGUUGUACAGCAGAAAUUAGCACAAACUUGACAUCAAUCAAAUCAACUGUAUAUUAAUAAAAGUUGAAAAAUUAAAAAAAAUUC